GCCAUGUCACACGGGAGAUGGAGUUAUUCCUCAAAUCAGUCUCAUCGAAGGCUCAGAGGCAACCUACAACUAUUCUGGGGAGCUCCAUUGUCAACAAUCCAGCUUUCUUCUAUCUUAUACCACCAUCUUCAUCAUGUGGACUCCACAUUACCUCCUGGUUGACAAUAUCCCUUCCACUUCCAGCAAACUCAUUCUGGCCAGCAGGAAAGAUUUUUUGUUGUUGUUUUAAAGGAUUCUCCCAUUCUUCCCUCUAAUGACACCUCUCAGCGGAUGCACCAAGCACAGUCAUUUGUACACUCUUGGCCAAAACUUAGUCUUGUGUCCAUAGGACUAGCAAUGACAGCUGAAAAAUAAUCUUUAGGUCCAGCAGCCAAGCUUCCAUCUAACAUUUGAGGAUUCUUACUAAGGAAGAAGGGACGAAUGAAUAUUUGGAACUCUUAUUGCAGUCUCCAAUACAGUCAGUCCCUUUGGUCACCCAACCACCUGUGCACAACCUUCCUCUCCAUAAAGGACCUGUUCAUACCCUCCUCAAAAGACACAACAGCAAAGCCCCAACCAGGCACAGCUUCCAGAUCAAAGUCCAGGACCUCUGGGAGAUAACUCUCAGUCAAGUCUAGAUAUGGAUCUUUGUGAUCUGGUGACCUCAUCUGCCUCAAAAACACCAAAGAUGCAAUGGAGGAGCAAGAAGCAGAUUAACUGCAUGCAAUUAAAUCUACGAUUUGGUAAUGGGGAGCAGAGAAAAUACACAGCAGUCACUAGUCCAUUAUAAUUAAUAAAUUCCAUUGUUCUUUGGUAGUAGAGUGCUUAUUUUGACCAUCUGACAUCCUGGAUUCUGGUCUUGGAGAGUAAUUCCCUUGUCCACUGUCCUGUCUAAUCUGUUCUCUCUUGUCCAUUAUCUUCCAUGAACAAAUUGAAAUAGACAUUUUAUAUGGUUUGACUCUGUAUCCUCACCCAAAUUUCAUGUUGAAAUGUAAUCCCCAGUGCUGGAGAGGGGGGCUGGCGGGGGGUGAUUUGGAUCAUGAGGGCAGUUUCUAAUGGUUCAGCACCGGCCCCCAGUGCUGUU
Molecule: long non-coding RNA, 1063 nt
Filed under: Homo sapiens (human)
Lineage: Eukaryota; Metazoa; Chordata; Mammalia; Primates; Hominidae
Description: HSALNT0189590
Source: RNAcentral